AUUAUGUGUUUAAAUUGUAUUAUUAUUUAGUUAGUUACUAAGUAUGAUUAUGCAUGUUAGUUAGUCAUAAGUUAUUUGGUUGCUAGAAUAGUGGGUUUAUGGUUAUUAGACUUGGAGAGAGUUAAAUGAAGGGUAUUGUGGUAAUUGGAUGAUACCUUAAGAGAAGGGUUUUAAUUUGUCUUAAAUAAGAGAAAAGAGAGGAAGAAAGAGAAGAGAGAAAAGAAAGAAAAAGAGAAAGAAUGAGAGUAGAGAAGCAAAUCUCGUUUUCCAUGCAUCAGCUCCACUAAAUCUUCGAUUGCAGAUUCGUUAACCGUUGGAUCUCAACGAGAUUUUGAGGGUAGGUUCGCAACAUACAAACGCAACUUUUGACCGUUGGGAUCGUCAAAAUAAGGUCUGAGGUGGGAGAAAUCAUGCUCGCAAUUUACAGUUCGAAAUUGGGGGAAAAUGAAGAAAAGGAAGAGAAAUGCAAGAGCAAAGAGUAAAUUGGAGCUUGAGGAUUCAAGAGGAGUGGAGGACUAGAGUUUCCAACAUUAAUACAAGGUUCUCAGGUUGUAUGUUUGUUGGUGUUCGAGUUAUUGGUGACAGCUCCGCUCUGGUUGUGACACGGGGAAGGGUUCAUAGAGUAUUUAUUUGUUGUUUUAUUUAAAUUAAAGGUGUAUCUUUUAUAAAAGGAUUUUGUAUAAGUGAUGAUUACUAAUUAAUUUUAUUAGUAGAGUUUUUAAUGAAGAAUGUAACACCUUGAACCGUGAUUUAUAAUUCAUUUUUUACUUCGAGUCUUAAAGUCAUUUUUAUCCGCUGCGUAGUUUCGAAAAACCAUUCUUUUAUUAAGAUAAAUUAAAUAAUGGGUCAGGGUUGUUACAAAGUGGUAUCAGAGCCCCGUUGUCUUCGGACUGUGUGGGUUAUGUGUCAGUCAGAGCAGGUCUGUGCAGUCAGGCCGAGUGAGCGCGGUGUCAGUCGUGUCUGUGUAACUGUUAUGAUUUCUUGUGAAUUAAUUUUUGUAGUUACACUUGCACAUCAGUCACUAUUUAAUUGUUUUGCGAAUGUGUGACUAGUUUCAUGAAUUUUGUUGCUAGUUCUUUUGUUAGCGUGUUGUUUUAUUUGAUUCUCGAGACUUAUGUUUUAAUUGGUAUUGACUUUAGCAUCUAUAAUUCUUGUUUCAUGAUUGGAUGUUAAAAUGAUGAUUGUCUUAAGUGCUAUUUGUUAAUACUUGAAUAAUAUGUGAUGUUUUAUUCUAGUUGAUUGAGUAUAAGAUUUAUUGUCUUAUUUGUGUUUCUUGUGAUUAAAUUAAAUGUGAAAAUGAUAAUUGUUUCGUUGUUAAUUGAAAUUGUGUAGAAUAUUAGAAUUUACUUUAUGCUACAUGAAUUCAUACAUGAUUUGAAUAUGUUAAUGGGAUGAAUAGUUUAAUUUAACUAUUUAUAGUAGAGUUUAUGUGAAUUCUUAUGUAUGUUUGCAUGUAUACUUUUAUGUGUAGUUCUUUAUGACAUGAGAUAAUUUUAGAACUAGUAUUAAUUUCCGAUGAUGUGAAUUUUAUCGAAAAUCUAAUUGUUUUCUUUUGAGUAAGUGAAACAUAAUUUUAUCAAGUAAGAAGAGUAGAAUAUUAAUAGUAUAGUUAAGUGGAUUCUAGGAUAUGUUUGACAUAUGUUUUGUUCUAUAUGAUAUGUUCUAGAUUAUUGCUAUUUGACUUGUGCUUUUGGUUAUUUGUAAGUUAUAGUGAAUAACUAUGCUAUUUUCUAUAAGAUGAAUUUGAUAAAUGUGUUGUACAAGUUGACUAUUUUAUUUUGUCAUGUUAGUUAUCAUGUUAAGAUAGAUAUAUUCUAUGCAUAUGUGAAUAUGAAUUGUUGAAUUUUUAAAAUUCAUUGCUAUGAAAUAUUUAUCUUUUCUUGUACUGAUUUGAUUCUCAAUUUUGAGAUUUAGAGAAGAUAUAUGUUUCUUGAAUGUCUAUGUGAAAUGCUAUGUUUUGCUUUUGUGCAAUUUUAUAUAAAUGUUCAUGUUUUGUAUUUUGUAGUUUACCCAUUGUAUGCGACAUGUGUGUAAACAUUGUCGAUACUAGUUUCUUUCGUGGGAGCUAGUUAGAGAAUCGUAGAAGUCUCCAGUUAAGUAUGAGAGUUGAGAAUUACAAUAGGAGUUAUAAGUGGGUUUGAGAUAAGUGGGGGAGAAGGUUAACUUCCUUUGAGAUGUUUAAGUGUAGAAGAAUAAGUUAGAUAGAGAUGUCCGGAGUAGAGCGUUCAUGUGUUGGUGUUGUCCAUUUCGGAGUUAGAUGAUUUGGAAGAACAGUUAGAAGACCGCUGGAGAAGAAGUUUGUCGGAUCGAUUGUUUUGCCAUGAAGAGCGCCAAUGUUGUUAAGUAAGAAGAGAUGAUGAAUUAUGAGAAAAUCGGCGGAGAUUGGUAAGAUCAAAUUCAUUAUGCUUGGUAUGAUGAAGAAAGGCUUAGCAUACGUGUAGUGCAUAUGAUGAAGGAAUAAAAGAUUUCAGAUAUUGUAAUCAAGGACGAGUAGACAAUAAUAAUGUGAUGGAAUAUUCAGGAUAUAUUUUGGAUGUGAGUAUCUCGACGGAAGAAGUGAUAUUGGAAACGUUGUAUAUUAAGAAAAAAAAAAGGUUGGUUAAGUGAUGGAUUAUGAAUGAAGCAAUUAUGUUGGAACUCGACAUAAGAAAUCGACAUUGGUGUAAAAGGAAUAGUUGUGUCAUUAAUGACGUGAUUUCGAUGUGUAUCGGUAAGAGUUUGAGGACCUUAUCGGCAACCGAGUAUGGCGAUGAUAAAUUUAAAACUAUGGUUUGGAUAAGAUUUGGACGUGAACGUAUAAGGAUUAAGAGGAAUGUAAAGACUUAUGAAAAAUCAUGAUGUGAAAUCCCUAUGGAGAUGAGAUUUAUUUGGAACGUAAUGGAUUGAAGAGUACUUAUGGUGGAAUAUUUCUUUCCGGAUGUUUCGUUCUUAGGAAAGCACUAUUGUAGAUUGACAAAGAUGGUUCAUGUCACCAUAAUGGUUGUUGUCUAUCUAUUAAUAAAUUGAGGGAAUGGCCACCCUUGAUCUCUUGUUAACGAGUAGACAAGAUCGUGUGACCGGAAUGGACUAGUUUUGUCAACCUUUGGUAGUGUAUAGAGUUUGAAUGUUUUGUUGGAGAAUGGGAUGAAAAGAUUUCGUCUAGGGUUGUCUUAGUCGGACAAUUUUCGAGGGCGAAAAUUCUUUUAAGUGGGGGAGAGUUGUAACGCCCCAUAUUUUAUUAAUUAUUUAUUUGUGUGAUUAAUUGAUUAUGUGUUUAAAUUGUAUUAUUAUUUAGUUAGUUACUAAGUAUGAUUAUGCAUGUUAGUUAGUCAUAAGUUAUUUGGUUGCUAGAAUAGUGGGUUUAUGGUUAUUAGACUUGGAGAGAGUUAAAUGAAGGGUAUUGUGGUAAUUGGAUGAUACCUUAAGAGAAGGGUUUUAAUUUGUCUUAAAUAAGAGAAAAGAGAGGAAGAAAGAGAAGAGAGAAAAGAAAGAAAAAGAGAAAGAAUGAGAGUAGAGAAGCAAAUCCCGUUUUCCAUGCAUCAGCUCCACUAAAUCUUCGAUUGCAGAUUCGUUAACCGUUGGAUCUCAACGAGAUUUUGAGGGUAGGUUCGCAACAUACAAACGCAACUUUUGACCGUUGGGAUCGUCAAAAUAAGGUCUGAGGUGGGAGAAAUCAUGCUCGCAAUUUACAGUUCGAAAUUGGGGGAAAAUGAAGAAAAGGAAGAGAAAUGCAAGAGCAAAGAGUAAAUUGGAGCUUGAGGAUUCAAGAGGAGUGGAGGACUAGAGUUUCCAACAUUAAUACAAGGUUCUCAGGUUGUAUGUUUGUUGGUGUUCGAGUUAUUGGUGACAGCUCCGCUCUGGUUGUGACACGGGGAAGGGUUCAUAGAGUAUUUAUUUGUUGUUUUAUUUAAAUUAAAGGUGUAUCUUUUAUAAAAGGAUUUUGUAUAAGUGAUGAUUACUAAUUAAUUUUAUUAGUAGAGUUUUUAAUGAAGAAUGUAACACCUUGAACCGUGAUUUAUAAUUCAUUUUUUACUUCGAGUCUUAAAGUCA
This is a long non-coding RNA of Trifolium pratense (red clover), 4029 nucleotides long. RefSeq lists it as uncharacterized. The transcript has 3 exons. The record is from RefSeq and is a predicted model, not a curated record. Lineage: Eukaryota; Viridiplantae; Streptophyta; Magnoliopsida; Fabales; Fabaceae.